CAGUCGCCGCGGGAAUACGAAGGGGGCUAGCGUUGUUCGGAUUUACUGGGCGUAAGGCGCACGUAGGCGGAUUCUUAAGUCAGAGGUGAAAUCCCAAGGCUCAACCUUGGAACUGCCUUUGAUACUGGGGAUCUUGAGUUCGGGAGAGGUGAGUGGAACUGCGAGUGUAGAGGUGAAAUUCGUAGAGAUCGGGAGGAACACCAGUGGCGAAGGCGACUCUCUGGUCUGUAACUGACGCUGAGGAGCGAAAGCGUGGGGAGCAAACAGGAUUAGAUACCCCUGUAGUCCCUGUCUCUUAUAC
Molecule: ribosomal RNA, 301 nt
Filed under: uncultured bacterium
Lineage: Bacteria
Description: partial 16S ribosomal RNA
Rfam family: Bacterial small subunit ribosomal RNA
Source: RNAcentral